UACGGAGGAUCCGAGCGUUAUCCGGAUUUAUUGGGUUUAAAGGGUGCGCAGGCGGGAGAUUAAGUCGGCGGUGAAAUUUUGCAGCUCAACUGUAAAAGUGCCUUCGAAACUGGUUUCCUUGAGUGUAAAUGAAGUAGGCGGAAUUUGUGGUGUAGCGGUGAAAUGCAUAGAUAUCACGAGGAACUCCGAUUGCGCAGGCAGCUUACUAAACUACUACUGACGCUCAGGCACGAAGGCUGGGGAUCAAACAGGAUUAGAUACCCCUGUAGU
This 270-nucleotide ribosomal RNA is filed under the name uncultured prokaryote. RNAcentral's name for it is "partial 16S ribosomal RNA". It matches the Rfam family "Bacterial small subunit ribosomal RNA", at positions 524 to 794 of the family's 1533-position model. The record is from RNAcentral.